This 484-nucleotide ribosomal RNA is filed under the name uncultured bacterium. RNAcentral describes it as "partial 16S ribosomal RNA". It matches the Rfam family "Bacterial small subunit ribosomal RNA", at positions 29 to 507 of the family's 1533-position model. The record is from RNAcentral.
AUUGAACGCUGGCGGCAUGCUUUACACAUGCCAGUCGAACGGCAGCGCGGGCUUCGGCCUGGCGGCGAGUGGCGAACGGGUGAGUAAUACAUCGGAACGUGCCCAGUAGUGGGGGAUAGCUCGGCGAAAGCCGAAUUAAUACCGCAUACGACCUGAGGGUGAAAGCGGGGGAUCUUCGGACCUCGCGCUAUUGGAGCGGCCGAUGGCGGAUUAGCUAGUUGGUGGGGUAAAGGCCUACCAAGGCGACGAUCUGUAGCUGGUCUGAGAGGACGACCAGCCACACUGGGACUGAGACACGGCCCAGACUCCUACGGGAGGCAGCAGUGGGGAAUUUUGGACAAUGGGCGAAAGCCUGAUCCAGCAAUGCCGCGUGUGUGAUGAAGGCCUUCGGGUUGUAAAGCACUUUUGGCGGGAACGAAAAGGACUGUGCCAAUACCACGGUUCGAUGACGGUACCCGCAGAAUAAGCACCGGCUAACUACGUG